GUGUAUGUCGUGAAGAUGAGAUUGCUCGCACGUGAGAUUUUGCUCUUACUCCGUGUUACAUGUUGGGCUCUAUAACUCCCAAGUUACUGAGACAACAUGAAAAGAUUGAUGUCAAAUCUGUCCUUGUCCAUCCUCACAAAUUUUAUGAGGAAGAGAGAAUGACUUAACGAUAUAUCUAAUAGUCUCUUCUAUGCAAGGAUGACUAAGGGGGCAUUAGUUUAAAAUGAUAUCCUUAAGAUGAUUGAGUAAAUAGAGAAGCUCAUAGGUUUAAGAAUGAUCUUAGAGGAUAACUCUCUCAUAUUCCUUUUCAUAGUUCAUAAUGAAUUUUAACAUGAACUCUUCCUUAGCUCCUUAAUUUGUUGAGGGAGGCUGAGAGCACUAUCCAGAAAGAGAGUAAAUUCUUUAUGUUGGUAAGACCAUAAAGAAAAGAAAAAUAGAAAAAUAGAAAAAUCCCUUAAGAAGAGCAAAUCGAGCUAAGUAAAGGUUGCUAAAAAGGACUUGACGAAUGACAAAGGCCGAUGCUUCCACUUUGGGAAAGAUGAACAUUGGAAGAAGAACUACAGUGAGUACCUUUGAGAAGAGCUUCAGAUACAUUCAUAUUGAUCUUCAUCUAUCAGAAAGUUAUGAUAAUGCAUGGGUAUUGGAUCCAACAAUGGAUCUCAUAUCUGCAAUUCAUUGUAGGUUCUAGCAAUGCCAAGGAGAUUGGUGAAAGACGAGGUAGACCUCAAGAUGAGGGAUGUCACAAAGGUUGCUGUUGCCGUUGGUGAGAUCACCCUACAUUUGCUUAGUGAAGUUAUUCUUGUAUUAGAUACAUACUACUUCGUUCCCUUGAUCAUCAAAAAUAUUAUUUUUAUUUCUUGUUGGACAACUAGUGGAUAUAAGUUGAACAGAGAUGAUCAGGGGUUAUGAACCAAGCGACGAAGGGGUGAAUUAGUGCAGGUAAUGAAAACUCGAUUUAAAGAAAACUUCGUUAAAAAUAAAAUCAAUAUCGGAAGCGUUUCGUUUAAGUAGAAUAAGUGAUCAAUUUAACUUAUAGAACAAUGCUAAGAUUCUUGCUUGAUGAAAGCUCAAGUAUGAAUAUGUAAAUCUAAAUAAGAUUCAAGAUAAAAAAUACUCAUAAAUUUAUAGUGAUUCGAUGUGCCUCGAGCGUCGAACAGUCGACUCAGAACUGGUAUGGACAAGGGGAACCCGAUUGUUUAAUUAAAACAAAGCAUUUCGAUGGUCCCUGUGGAUGCUCACGCAAUGUGAUUUCUGCCUAAUGCUCUGAAUAUGAAAGUGAAGAAAUUCAACCAAGUGUGGGUAAACGGCAAGAGUAACUAUGACUCUCUUAAGAUAGCCAGAUGCCUCGUCAUCUAAUUAAUGAUGCGCAUGAAUGGAUUAACGAGAUCCCCACUGUCCCUGUCUACUAUCCAGCAAAACCACAGCCAAGGGAACGGGCUUGGCAGAAUCAUCGGGGAAAGAAAACCCUGUUGAGCUUGACUCUAGUUUGACUUUGUGAAAUGACUUGAGAGGUGUAGGAUAAGUGGGAGUUGGUUCGCCGAGGGAAGUGAAAUACCACUACUUUUAACGUUAUUUUACUUAUUCCGUGAGUCGAAGGUGGGGCCUGGCCCCUCCUUUUGGUCCCAAGGCUCGCCUAGCGGGUCGAUCCGAGCAGAAGACAUUGUCAGGUGGGGAGUUUGGCUGAGGCGACACAUAUGUUAAAAGAUAACACAUAUGUCCUAAGAUGAGCUCAACGAGAACAAAAAUCUCGGGUGAAACAAAAGGGUAAAAGCAUGUUUGAUUCUGAUUUCUAGUACGAAUAAGAAUCGUGAAAGCGUGGCCUAUCGAUCCUUUAGACCUUCGAAAUUUGAAGCUAGAGGUGUCAGAAAAAUUACCACAAGUUGGCUUGUGGCAGCUAAGCGUUCAUAGUGACGUUGUUUUUUUAUCCUUCGAUGUCGGCUCUUCAUAUCAUUGUGAAGCAGAAUUCACCAAAUGUUGAAUUGUUCACCCACCAAUAGUGAACGUGAGCUGGGUUUAGACCGUCGUGAGACAAGUUAGUUUUACCCUACUGAUGAUCAUGUCGCGAUAGUAAUUCAACAUAGUACAAGAGGAACCGUUGAUUCACACAAUUGAU
RNAcentral lists this ribosomal RNA (2113 nucleotides) under Ensete ventricosum. RNAcentral describes it as "eukaryotic LSU rRNA". The stretch from base 927 to 2113 matches the Rfam family "Eukaryotic large subunit ribosomal RNA", at positions 1891 to 3064 of the family's 3401-position model. The record is from RNAcentral. Lineage: Eukaryota; Viridiplantae; Streptophyta; Magnoliopsida; Zingiberales; Musaceae.